This 83-nucleotide transfer RNA is filed under the name Methanobacteriota archaeon. RNAcentral describes it as "Euryarchaeota archaeon tRNA-Ser". It matches the Rfam family "tRNA". From Rfam's summary of the family: Transfer RNA (tRNA) molecules are approximately 80 nucleotides in length. The record is from RNAcentral. Lineage: Archaea; Methanobacteriati; Methanobacteriota.
GACACCGUUCUAGAGCCUGGUACUAGGCUGGACUGCUAAUCCAGUGCCCUAUGGGCGCGCGGGUUCAAAUCCCGCCGGUGUCA